This 676-nucleotide ribosomal RNA is filed under the name Saprolegnia sp. strain 1 (fish eggs). RNAcentral's name for it is "LSU rRNA". It matches the Rfam family "Eukaryotic large subunit ribosomal RNA", at positions 51 to 632 of the family's 3401-position model. Lineage: Eukaryota; Oomycota; Saprolegniomycetes; Saprolegniales; Saprolegniaceae. The record is from RNAcentral.
CGGAGGAAAAGAAACUAACAAGGAUUCCCCCAGUAACGGCGAGUGAAGCGGAAGAGCUCAAGCUUAAAAUCUCCAUACUUGUAUGGCGAAUUGUAGUCUAUUGAGGCUGUUGUCAGCAUCGCGAUUGGGGACAAGUCCCUUGGAAAAGGGCAGCAUGGAGGGUGAUACUCCCGUCUCUGCUCACAUCUGCGGUGUGUACGAUACGCUUUCUUUGAGUCGAGUUGUUUGGGAAUACAGCUCAAAGUAGGUGGUAAAUUCCAUCUAAAGCUAAAUAUUGGUGCGAGACCGAUAGCGAACAAGUACCGUGAGGGAAAGAUGAAAAGAACUUUGAAAAGAGAGUUAAAGAGUACCUGAACUGUUGAAAGGGAACCGUAUCGUUUCCAGUGUUGUAUCCUAUGCAUAUUUCAUUCGUGGAGUAAUUUCGGGUGCCCUGUGCAUGGGUGUGACGUCAGGGUCAGUUUGUAUGCAGCGGGAGAUGGUCAGUGAGGAGGUGCGUCACUUCGGUGAAAGUUAUAUCUCGCUGUCUAGUAGCCGUGGUUGAGACUGAGGUGCCUACAACAUGCCUUAAGGUUCUAUGUUGUCUCGUGUUGGUGACUGCUUUGAUAGCUUGCUAUGUCUGUGGUUUAUUAAUGCGAUUGAUGAUGUGGAUAACUUUUGCUGUUCGGGACUCUGGCGA